GAUUAAUUCGAUGCAACGCGAAGAACCUUACCUGGGUUUGACAUGGCCGCAAAACUCGCAGAGAUGUGAGGUCCUUCGGGGGCGGUCACAGGUGGUGCAUGGCUGUCGUCAGCUCGUGUCGUGAGAUGUUGGGUUAAGUCCCGCAACGAGCGCAACCCUCGUUCGAUGUUGCCAGCGCGUUAUGGCGGGGACUCAUCGAAGACUGCCGGGGUCAACUCGGAGGAAGGUGGGG
This 232-nucleotide ribosomal RNA is filed under the name uncultured bacterium. Its description in RNAcentral is "partial 16S ribosomal RNA". It matches the Rfam family "Bacterial small subunit ribosomal RNA", at positions 944 to 1178 of the family's 1533-position model. The record is from RNAcentral.